AAGUCGUAACAAGGUUUCCGUAGKUGAACCUGCGGAAGGAUCAUUAACAAAUUACAAAMACUCGUGUUGCCCUCUUGCUUGUGACCAUGUCAACACUKUUCAGUCUUGGACAGGUACAUGUGUCUUCACAACAAGGGGGACGUUACCACAACAUUACACAUCUUGAUGGACAAUUUGAUCCGACGAUGGCCGUACUGUGUGUGUGCGUGCAUAUGUGUGGCAUCAUACGCCUUGUGCGUGUCUUCAUACAUCAUCAUACACAUACUUGAAUGGACAGCCUCGUCGACCAUUACACGCUAAUGGAAACAACUUUUAACAAUGGAUCUCUUGGCUCUUGCAACGAUGAAGAACGCAGCGAACUGCGAAACGUGAUGUGACCUGCACUCUUCGUGAAUCAUCCAAUCUUUGAACGCACUUUGCACCUGGUGGCUGUUGUGGUGACCAGGUAUACUUGUUUGAGUAUCUACAAUCCUCUCCACUCCCCCUUGGGGCGUAGUGGGACUUGAGAGCGCUCGAUCGUGCACACCCUGGCAUGAUGCUCUUCUUUCUUUCGUCAAGGAAAGAGAAAAGAGCCAUGCAUUUACAACAGAGUAUGAUGAUCGUCUCUUUAAAGAUAGGCCACAAGGUGGGUCUUGACACACGCUGGACGCUAGUCGUCCACGAGUGGUUAUUGGGAUAACAUCCUAACAAUAGCCAUGGGUCUUGACCGGCCGGCCAUCCUGAUGAAGGAGCACAUACAUCCAUAAUAUAAUAGAGAGUACUUUCUGUUCCCUCUAUGAUGAUGGAUGGUGCUUUCUUCCAUCAAGGGUGUGUGCUGUGUGUUGUGUGUUGUGCUUGCCUUUACAGGCUCGCCAUGCACACAUACACAAUGGGCAUCACCACUGAGAAAGGAUCUCAAAUCAAGUAAGGAUACCCGCUGAACUUAA
RNAcentral lists this ribosomal RNA (926 nucleotides) under uncultured fungus. RNAcentral's name for it is "eukaryotic LSU rRNA". The stretch from base 308 to 465 matches the Rfam family "5.8S ribosomal RNA". The record is from RNAcentral. Lineage: Eukaryota; Fungi.